This 433-nucleotide ribosomal RNA is filed under the name uncultured bacterium. RNAcentral describes it as "partial 16S ribosomal RNA". It matches the Rfam family "Bacterial small subunit ribosomal RNA", at positions 29 to 507 of the family's 1533-position model. The record is from RNAcentral.
AGCGAACGCUGGCGGCAGGCUUAACACAUGCAAGUCGAGCGGGCCUUUCGGGGUCAGCGGCGGACGGGUGAGUAACGCGUGGGAACGUGCCCUCUGGUUCGGAAUAACUCAGGGACACUUGAGCUAAUACCGGAUACGCCCUUUUGGGGAAAGGCUUGCUGCCGGAGGAUCGGCCCGCGUCUGAUUAGCUAGUUGGUGAGGUAACGGCUCACCAAGGCGACGAUCAGUAGCUGGUCUGAGAGGAUGAUCAGCCACACUGGGACUGAGACACGGCCCAGACUCCUACGGGAGGCAGCAGUGGGGAAUAUUGGACAAUGGGCGCAAGCCUGAUCCAGCCAUGCCGCGUGAGUGAUGAAGGCCUUAGGGUUGUAAAGCUCUUUUAUCCGGGACGAUAAUGACGGUACCGGAGGAAUAAGCCCCGGCUAACUUCGUG